RNAcentral lists this ribosomal RNA (637 nucleotides) under Wenyingozyma naganishii. RNAcentral describes it as "Ogataea naganishii partial small subunit ribosomal RNA". The stretch from base 118 to 637 matches the Rfam family "Bacterial small subunit ribosomal RNA", at positions 1 to 945 of the family's 1533-position model. Lineage: Eukaryota; Fungi; Ascomycota; Pichiomycetes; Pichiales; Pichiaceae. The record is from RNAcentral.
AGUCAAUGAUCGAAAGAUUGAUCUAGUUACUUAGAAAGAUGAUGAUUACAAAUAUAAUUAAGUAAUUAAUUAUAUAAAUAUAAUAUUAUAUAAAUAUAAUAUUAUAUAUAUAUAUAGUAUUAUAAUGUAUUGAUAUAAUAUGAGAAUAUAAUAUUAAUAGUAGAAAAGUAAUAUAUAAAGUAGUAUAAAAUCUAAGAUAUAUAGAGAAUAAUGAUGAUAUAUAUAUCUAAGUCUUGACCAAAUAUAGUGCCAGCAGUAGCGGUUAAACUAUGGAGGCGAGCGUUAUUCAAUAGGCUUAAAGGAUCCGUAGAAUGUUAUAUUUAUAUAAUAGAGUUAAAGAAAAAGAUUAAAGAAUUAUUUACUAUAGCGAUAAUAUGUGAUAUCUAAAUGAGACUACCAUAUUUGAAGAUAUUAAUCAAGAUUUAACUGACAUUGAGGGAUGAAGGCGUGAGAAGUAAUCCGGAUUAGAUACCCGAGUAAAUUCAUGCUGUAAACGAUGAAUACUAAUAUAUAAUAUUUAAAAAAUAAAAAUAUUAUACAUAAAGUGAAAACUAAGUAUUCCGCCAGAUGAGUAUAUUCGCAAGAAUGAAAUUCAAGACAAUAGACGGUUACAAGCAUCAGCAGUGGAUAGUGUUAU